AAAGAAAAGGUGAAAGCCCCGUCGGUGCACUUUACCCUUUUUCAACUUUUAUUAAUUCAAAAUCGAAGACGAAGGAAAACUCGCUUUCUCUCACGGGCACCAGCUGAGUGCGGUCGGCCCCAGACGCUGAUGCAGGCUAGGGAGGCGACGCUGACUCCCAAAAACAAAACAAGCGCCCAAAUUGAGCCCUUCAAAAAAUACAAAGGAGCAUACCUAAACGUAAAAAACCCUAAAAACGUUUCUCAGAGAUAGAAUAAGGAGAAGGACCAUACUGAAACAAAAACAAAAACAGAAAUAUCUGCUCAUGUCCCCAAAAUCCCCUCCUCCUCAGGCACGUCGUUUAUCUUAUUUAAAUACAAUGUUCACUCUCUGAUAAAAGCUUUCUUCAGUUCUUAAAACUCUUUUAAAAGCUUUAUUAUUGUUCUUCUUAUUAUUUAUGCACUUAAUAACAUACUGAUCAAAAGUACAAAACAUGGAUUUCGAAACGGAAUCGCAGAAGAAGAAGUACGGAGCUGGGGUUUUUGGAGAUGUCUACGCUAUAACUAUGAUGCUUCCCAAGGACCUCGACAAGAUGGAUCCUCCUCCUUCUCCUCCUCCCUUUCAGCUCCGAUUUCAACUUCCUG
RNAcentral lists this long non-coding RNA (623 nucleotides) under Jatropha curcas. Its description in RNAcentral is "long non-coding RNA (JCUR_LNC002876)". The record is from RNAcentral. Lineage: Eukaryota; Viridiplantae; Streptophyta; Magnoliopsida; Malpighiales; Euphorbiaceae.